UACAGAGGGGGCAAGCGUUGUUCGGAAUUACUGGGCGUAAAGGGCGCGUAGGCGGCCUGCUAAGUCGAACGUGAAAUCCCCGGGCUUAACCCGGGAACUGCGUCCGAUACUGGUGGGCUUGAAUCCGGGAGAGGGAUGUGGAAUUCCAGGUGUAGCGGUGAAAUGCGUGGAUAUCUGGAGGAACACCGGUGGCGAAGGCGGCAUCCUGGACCGGUAUUGACGCUGAGGAGCGAAAGCGUGGGGAGCGAACAGG
RNAcentral lists this ribosomal RNA (253 nucleotides) under uncultured bacterium. RNAcentral describes it as "partial 16S ribosomal RNA". It matches the Rfam family "Bacterial small subunit ribosomal RNA", at positions 524 to 776 of the family's 1533-position model. The record is from RNAcentral.